Non-coding RNA from Gossypium hirsutum (cotton), 106 nucleotides. Lineage: Eukaryota; Viridiplantae; Streptophyta; Magnoliopsida; Malvales; Malvaceae. The record is from Rfam.
AAUCAAUUGUGUGGACAUUUUUGAAUCAACAUUUUGAAGCUUUCCCACACAUCAUAGAAGCUUUCUCCUUCCAUCUAUCUAAGGACAACAAUCUCUCUCCUUAAUU